UACGUAGGUCCCGAGCGUUGUCCGGAUUUAUUGGGCGUAAAGCGAGCGCAGGUGGUUUAUUAAGUCUGGUGUAAAAGGCAGUGGCUCAACCAUUGUAUGCGUUGGAAACUGGUAGACUUGAGUGCAGGAGAGGAGAGUGGAAUUCCAUGUGUAGCGGUGAAAUGCGUAGAUAUAUGGAGGAACACCGGUGGCGAAAGCGGCUCUCUGGCCUGUAACUGACACUGAGGCUCGAAAGCGUGGGGAGCAAACAGG
This 252-nucleotide ribosomal RNA is filed under the name uncultured bacterium. RNAcentral's name for it is "partial 16S ribosomal RNA". It matches the Rfam family "Bacterial small subunit ribosomal RNA", at positions 524 to 776 of the family's 1533-position model. The record is from RNAcentral.